GAUGAAGAACGUAGCGAAAUGCGAUACGUAAUGUGAAUUGCAAAUUCAGUGAAUCAUCGAGUCUUUGAACGCACAUUGCGCCCCCUGGUAUUCCGGGGGGCAUGCUUGUCCGAGCGUCAUUGCUGCCCUCAAGCACGGCUUGUGUGUUGGGCCCCGUCCUCCGAUCCCGGGGGACGGGCCCGAAAGGCAGCGGCGGCACCGCGUCCGGUCCUCGAGCGUAUGGGGCUUUGUCACCCGCUCUGUAGGCCCGGCCGGCGCUUGCCGAUCAACCCAAAUUUUUAUCCAGGUUGACCUCGGAUCAGGUAGGGAUACCCGCUGAACUUAAGCAUAUCAAUAAGCGGAGGA
This 345-nucleotide unclassified non-coding RNA is filed under the name soil metagenome. RNAcentral describes it as "partial contains 5.8S ribosomal RNA, internal transcribed spacer 2, and large subunit ribosomal RNA". The stretch from base 1 to 119 matches the Rfam family "5.8S ribosomal RNA", at positions 35 to 154 of the family's 154-position model. The record is from RNAcentral.